Molecule: ribosomal RNA, 442 nt
Filed under: Salmonella enterica
Lineage: Bacteria; Pseudomonadati; Pseudomonadota; Gammaproteobacteria; Enterobacterales; Enterobacteriaceae
Also listed under: 1 other name
Description: partial 23S ribosomal RNA
Rfam family: Bacterial large subunit ribosomal RNA
Source: RNAcentral
CCGAACCGACUAAUGUUGAAAAAUUAGCGGAUGACCUGUGGCUGGGGGUGAAAGGCCAAUCAAACCGGGAGAUAGCUGGUUCUCCCCGAAAGCUAUUUAGGUAGCGCCUCGUGAAUUCAUCUCCGGGGGUAGAGCACUGUUUCGGCUAGGGGGCCAUCCCGGCUUACCAACCCGAUGCAAACUGCGAAUACCGGAGAAUGUUAUCACGGGAGACACACGGCGGGUGCUAACGUCCGUCGUGAAGAGGGAAACAACCCAGACCGCCAGCUAAGGUCCCAAAGUCAUGGUUAAGUGGGAAACGAUGUGGGAAGGCCCAGACAGCCAGGAUGUUGGCUUAGAAGCAGCCAUCAUUUAAAGAAAGCGUAAUAGCUCACUGGUCGAGUCGGCCUGCGCGGAAGAUGUAACGGGGCUAAACCAUGCACCGAAGCUGCGGCAGCGACAC